UCUCAUAUAUUCUAAAUUGGCUUUUUUCUGUUUAAUGCAAUUUAAAAGUAAUUUAUAAUGUGUUUAUAAUUUAAAUUGAAAAAUUUACUGAUCACAAAAUAUUGAAUAUUCUAAACAGAUGCAGUCCGUCGCCUGAAACUGAUGACAUUCAGGAAGCUAUCACCUAUACAUAUAUUAGAGAAAUUGAUUGUCAAUAUGAUGCGCAAUCACGUACACUACCUUCCAAAAAAGGUCGUCCAUGUCUGUUAUUUGAUGAAAUAUUCAGUCAAUCGAGCAACGCCAAAUAAUAGCAGAAUUUCUGAUCAACAUCAGCAUGAUCCAAACGGACGCGAAAUCAGCGAUCCAAAAAACCGUACAUAGGCAUAAUUUUUCAUAAUUUUAUAAAAAUUCUGAGGUAAAUGGAUUUUUAAUCAGUUAUUAGAAUCUUUUGGCCCAUUGUGCAUCUUGGAGACAAGGCUUUAUAGGUUUGAAAGGGAAGUAAUGUUAUAUUUUUUUAUCAAAUUUUGGUGUUUUAGAAAAAAACGUUAAUUCAAAUGGCGUAAACGUAUGCUUUUGUGAUAAUGAGUUUCAUUUAAUGUGUAGGAUAUGGAUGUAGAAGUACUUGUAUUCAUUUAAGAGAGCAAAAUAAAGCAAAAUAAAUUGUU
Solenopsis invicta (red fire ant) is the source of this 644-nucleotide long non-coding RNA. RefSeq lists it as uncharacterized. Lineage: Eukaryota; Metazoa; Arthropoda; Insecta; Hymenoptera; Formicidae. The transcript is spliced from 2 exons. The record is from RefSeq and is a predicted model, not a curated record.